This 2902-nucleotide ribosomal RNA is filed under the name Klebsiella pneumoniae. RNAcentral describes it as "23S ribosomal RNA". It matches the Rfam family "Bacterial large subunit ribosomal RNA". The record is from RNAcentral. Lineage: Bacteria; Pseudomonadati; Pseudomonadota; Gammaproteobacteria; Enterobacterales; Enterobacteriaceae.
GGUUAAGCGACUAAGCGUACACGGUGGAUGCCCUGGCAGUCAGAGGCGAUGAAGGACGUGCUAAUCUGCGAAAAGCGUCGGUAAGGUGAUAUGAACCGUUAUAGCCGGCGAUGUCCGAAUGGGGAAACCCAGUGCAAUUCGUUGCACUAUCGUUAACUGAAUACAUAGGUUAACGAGGCGAACCGGGGGAACUGAAACAUCUAAGUACCCCGAGGAAAAGAAAUCAACCGAGAUUCCCCCAGUAGCGGCGAGCGAACGGGGAGCAGCCCAGAGUCUGAAUCAGCUUGUGUGUUAGUGGAACGGUCUGGAAAGUCCGACGGUACAGGGUGAUAGUCCCGUACACCAAAAUGCACAGGUUGUGAACUCGAAGAGUAGGGCGGGACACGUGGUAUCCUGUCUGAAUAUGGGGGGACCAUCCUCCAAGGCUAAAUACUCCUGACUGACCGAUAGUGAACCAGUACCGUGAGGGAAAGGCGAAAAGAACCCCGGCGAGGGGAGUGAAAAAGAACCUGAAACCGUGUACGUACAAGCAGUGGGAGCACCUUCGGGUGUGACUGCGUACCUUUUGUAUAAUGGGUCAGCGACUUAUAUUCUGUAGCAAGGUUAACCGUAUAGGGGAGCCGCAGGGAAACCGAGUCUUAACUGGGCGUUAAGUUGCAGGGUAUAGACCCGAAACCCGGUGAUCUAGCCAUGGGCAGGUUGAAGGUUGGGUAACACUAACUGGAGGACCGAACCGACUAAUGUUGAAAAAUUAGCGGAUGACUUGUGGCUGGGGGUGAAAGGCCAAUCAAACCGGGAGAUAGCUGGUUCUCCCCGAAAGCUAUUUAGGUAGCGCCUCGUGAACUCAUCUUCGGGGGUAGAGCACUGUUUCGGCUAGGGGGUCAUCCCGACUUACCAACCCGAUGCAAACUACGAAUACCGAAGAAUGUUAUCACGGGAGACACACGGCGGGUGCUAACGUCCGUCGUGAAGAGGGAAACAACCCAGACCGCCAGCUAAGGUCCCAAAGUCAUGGUUAAGUGGGAAACGAUGUGGGAAGGCACAGACAGCCAGGAUGUUGGCUUAGAAGCAGCCAUCAUUUAAAGAAAGCGUAAUAGCUCACUGGUCGAGUCGGCCUGCGCGGAAGAUGUAACGGGGCUAAACCAUGCACCGAAGCUGCGGCAGCGACACUAUGUGUUGUUGGGUAGGGGAGCGUUCUGUAAGCCUGCGAAGGUGACCUGUGAGGGUUGCUGGAGGUAUCAGAAGUGCGAAUGCUGACAUAAGUAACGAUAAAGCGGGUGAAAAGCCCGCUCGCCGGAAGACCAAGGGUUCCUGUCCAACGUUAAUCGGGGCAGGGUGAGUCGACCCCUAAGGCGAGGCCGAAAGGCGUAGUCGAUGGGAAACAGGUUAAUAUUCCUGUACUUGGUGUUACUGCGAAGGGGGGACGGAGAAGGCUAUGUUAGCCGGGCGACGGUUGUCCCGGUUUAAGCAUGUAGGCUGAUUGUCCAGGCAAAUCCGGAUAAUCAAGGCUGAGGUGUGAUGACGAGGCACUACGGUGCUGAAGUAACAAAUGCCCUGCUUCCAGGAAAAGCCUCUAAGCAUCAGGUAACAUUAAAUCGUACCCCAAACCGACACAGGUGGUCAGGUAGAGAAUACCAAGGCGCUUGAGAGAACUCGGGUGAAGGAACUAGGCAAAAUGGUGCCGUAACUUCGGGAGAAGGCACGCUGGUGUGUAGGUGAAGCCCCUGCGGGUGGAGCUGAGACCAGUCGAAGAUACCAGCUGGCUGCAACUGUUUAUUAAAAACACAGCACUGUGCAAACACGAAAGUGGACGUAUACGGUGUGACGCCUGCCCGGUGCCGGAAGGUUAAUUGAUGGGGUUAUCCGUAAGGAGAAGCUCUUGAUCGAAGCCCCGGUAAACGGCGGCCGUAACUAUAACGGUCCUAAGGUAGCGAAAUUCCUUGUCGGGUAAGUUCCGACCUGCACGAAUGGCGUAAUGAUGGCCAGGCUGUCUCCACCCGAGACUCAGUGAAAUUGAACUCGCUGUGAAGAUGCAGUGUACCCGCGGCAAGACGGAAAGACCCCGUGAACCUUUACUAUAGCUUGACACUGAACAUUGAGCCUUGAUGUGUAGGAUAGGUGGGAGGCUUUGAAGCGUGGACGCCAGUCUGCGUGGAGCCAACCUUGAAAUACCACCCUUUAAUGUUUGAUGUUCUAACGUUGGCCCCUGACCGGGGUUGCGGACAGUGUCUGGUGGGUAGUUUGACUGGGGCGGUCUCCUCCCAAAGCGUAACGGAGGAGCACGAAGGUUAGCUAAUCCUGGUCGGACAUCAGGAGGUUAGUGCAAUGGCAUAAGCUAGCUUGACUGCGAGCGUGACGGCGCGAGCAGGUGCGAAAGCAGGUCAUAGUGAUCCGGUGGUUCUGAAUGGAAGGGCCAUCGCUCAACGGAUAAAAGGUACUCCGGGGAUAACAGGCUGAUACCGCCCAAGAGUUCAUAUCGACGGCGGUGUUUGGCACCUCGAUGUCGGCUCAUCACAUCCUGGGGCUGAAGUAGGUCCCAAGGGUAUGGCUGUUCGCCAUUUAAAGUGGUACGCGAGCUGGGUUUAGAACGUCGUGAGACAGUUCGGUCCCUAUCUGCCGUGGGCGCUGGAGAAUUGAGGGGGGCUGCUCCUAGUACGAGAGGACCGGAGUGGACGCAUCACUGGUGUUCGGGUUGUCAUGCCAAUGGCACUGCCCGGUAGCUAAAUGCGGAAGAGAUAAGUGCUGAAAGCAUCUAAGCACGAAACUUGCCCCGAGAUGAGUUCUCCCUGAGACUUUAAGUCUCCUGAAGGAACGUUAAAGACGAUGACGUUGAUAGGCCGGGUGUGUAAGCGCAGCGAUGCGUUGAGCUAACCGGUACUAAUGAACCGUGAGGCUUAACCUU